RNAcentral lists this ribosomal RNA (811 nucleotides) under uncultured Actinomycetes bacterium. Its description in RNAcentral is "bacterial SSU rRNA". It matches the Rfam family "Bacterial small subunit ribosomal RNA", at positions 60 to 847 of the family's 1533-position model. The record is from RNAcentral. Lineage: Bacteria; Bacillati; Actinomycetota; Actinomycetes.
AGUCGAACGCGAAAGUUUCCUUCGGGGAACAAGUAGAGUGGCGCACGGGUGAGUAACACGUAGGUAAUCUACCUUUGGAUGGGGAAUAACAACCGGAAACGGUUGCUAAUACCGCAUAAUGCAGCGGCACCUAAUGGUGACAGUUGUUAAAGCGGGGGAUCGAAAGACCUCGCGUCUGAAGAGGAGCCUGCGGCGGAUUAGCUAGUUGGUAAGGUAACGGCUUACCAAGGCAAUGAUCCGUAGCCGGCCUGAGAGGGCGGUCGGCCACACUGACACUGACAUACGGGUCAGACUCCUACGGGAGGCAGCAGUCGGGAAUUUUGGGCAAUGGGCGAAAGCCUGACCCAGCAACGCCGCGUGAAGGAUGAAAUCCCUCGGGAUGUAAACUUCGCAAGAACGGGAAGAAUAAGUAAGGGUUAACACCUCUUACGAUGACGGUACUGUUUGUAAGCUCCGGCUAACUCCGUGCCAGCAGCCGCGGUAAUACGGGGGGAGCAAGCGUUGUUCGGAUUUACUGGGCGUAAAGGGCGCGUAGGCGGCCACCGCAAGUCGGUUGUGAAAUCUCUGGGCUUAACCCAGAAAGGUCAACCGAUACUGCGGGGCUAGAGUGCAGAAGGGGCAACUGGAAUUCUCGGUGUAGCGGUGAAAUGCGUAGAUAUCGAGAGGAACACCUGCGGCGAAGGCGGGUUGCUGGGCUGACACUGACGCUGAAGUGCGAAAGCUAGGGGAGCGAACGGGAUUAGAUACCCCGGUAGUCCUAGCCUUAAACGAUGAAUGCUUGGUGUCUGGGGUUUUAUAGUCCCCGGGUGCC